RNAcentral lists this ribosomal RNA (447 nucleotides) under uncultured bacterium. RNAcentral describes it as "bacterial SSU rRNA". It matches the Rfam family "Bacterial small subunit ribosomal RNA", at positions 329 to 792 of the family's 1533-position model. The record is from RNAcentral.
CCCCAGACUCCUACGGGAGGCAGCAGUGGGGGAUAUUGCACAAUGGGGGGAACCCUGAUGCAGCGACGCCGCGUGGGUGAAGGAGUGCUUCGGCAUGUAAAGCCCUAUCGGCAGGGAAGAAGCAAGACGGUACCUGACUAAGAAGCCCCGGCUAACUACGUGCCAGCAGCCGCGGUAAUACGUAGGGGGCAAGCGUUAUCCGGAUUCACUGGGUGUAAAGGGAGCGUAGACGGCGACGCAAGUCUGGAGUGAAAGCCCGGGGCCCAACCCCGGGACUGCUCUGGAAACUGCGUCGCUGGAGUACGGGAGGGGCAGGCGGAAUUCCUGGUGUAGCGGUGAAAUGCGUAGAUAUCAGGAGGAACACCGGCGGCGAAGGCGGCCUGCUGGACCGUGACUGACGUUGAGGCUCGAGAGCGUGGGGAGCAAACAGGAUUAGAUACCCCUGUA